This 2939-nucleotide ribosomal RNA is filed under the name Carnegiea gigantea. RNAcentral describes it as "eukaryotic LSU rRNA". The stretch from base 367 to 2939 matches the Rfam family "Eukaryotic large subunit ribosomal RNA". Lineage: Eukaryota; Viridiplantae; Streptophyta; Magnoliopsida; Caryophyllales; Cactaceae. The record is from RNAcentral.
UAAAAUUGUGAGGAAAGUUUAGAAAAAUUUCCAACCUCCUUCAAUCUCACAUCACUUAGAUGACAUCAAUAUAAUUUAAGUAGCUCAUCAACAUUUAAAUUUUUCAUCGAAAUUCUUAUAUUUUUUCCUCAAUCCAAAAAAGAGAAAAAAACUCAUUUUCUCCCUACUUUUUUUCCUUUACAUUUUUUUUCCUUCAACUUUUCUUUCCAUCAAAUUUUCUAAGGACCAAACAAAGCCUUGAUGAAGUAAACUUAAUUGGCACUACACUAUAUUAGUAACACGUACUAUAGAAAAUAAGCCAGAAAAACAUUUUCCACUAUAGAGGAGGCAUGCAUUGUAUAUAUUAACAAAUAAAUAAACAUUUUCUAUAUAUUGAAUAAGCAUGCUGACGUGAACUGACUUAUCUCGGUACGUGCACAAGCCAAGGAGCACUUAAAAGUUUUAUGGGGAAAAGCGAUCCAAAUCACCUUUAGCUCGCUCAGAGGAAAAGCUUGGCUUUGACUUGCUAAGGUAAGCUGCCAAUUAGAUUGACAUAGCCUUUUCACUGAAAAUGAGGGUCUUGGGUUGAUCAAGUCAUUUGCUAUUAUGGCAAAAACACAAUUUGGAGCAAUUGCGAAACUUAUUCGAUUUGAUAAUGCUGUUGAGACGAGUACUACAAAUGCAACUUUUGAGGUUUUUAUCUCUUUAAGGGACUAUAUAUCAAAUUAGUUGUGUCCAAAUCCCUCAAUAGAAUGGGGAUGUUAAAAGAAAACAUAAACACCCUACUUGAGGCUUGCAAGGUGAUUGGCACUACAAGUGCAUGGUCACCGAGUGUAAAUCAAGUGUUGUUCAUGUGAGAUUUAAUGUGAUGAAAUGACUCACGCAACCACAGGAGCCUUGCCUGUAUAGCCGCUCAAGAGUGUGCAAGAACUCACCUGCCGAAUCAAUUAGCCUCAAAAAUGAAUGGCGCUGAAGUACGCGACCUAUACCCGGCCGUUGGGGUAAGUGCCAAGCUCCGAUAAGUAGGAGGGCGUGGCGGUCGCUGCAAAACUUGUGGCGCGGGUUAGGGCUGAGUGGCCGUCGAUGCAGAUUUUGGUGGUAGGAGCAAAUAUUCAAACGAGAACAUUGAAAGUCGAAGAGGGGAAAGGUUACAUGUAACGGCACUUGCACAUGGAUUAGUCAAUCCUAAGAGAUGAGGGAAGCCCAUCCGAAAGCCCUUUCAUCCCAGCUUCGAAAGGGAAUCGAGUCAAAGUUCCUAAACCGGGGCGUGGCAAUUGACGACAACAUUAGGGAGUCCAGAGACAUCAACGGGGGCUUUGGGAAGAGUUAUCUUUUCUGUUUAAUAGCCUGCCCACCUUGGAAAUGACUCAAUUUGAGGUAGGAUCUAGCGGCUGGAAGAGCACCACACGUCACGUGGUGUCCGGUACGCCUCCGGCGAUCCUUGAAAAUCCAGAGGACCGAGUACAGACCAUGCCCGGUCGUGCUCAUAAUCGCAUCAGGUCUCCAAGGUAAACAGCCUCUGGUCGAUGGAACAAUUUAGGUAAGGGAAAUCGACAAAAUGGAUCCAUAACUUCGGGAAAAGGAUUGGCUCUGAGGGCUGGGCGCGGGCAUCCCAAUCCGGAACCCAUCGGCUAUUGGCAGGCUGCUCGAGUUGUUCGCACGGGUUGUAGCGUCCCAGUCGGGGGACUGGGAAUGGCCCCUUUGGGGGCCUUCCCCGGGCUUCGAAUAGUUAACUCAGAACUGGUACGGACAAUGGAAAUUUGACAGUUUAAUUAAAACAAAGCAUUGCGAUGGUCCCCGCAAAUGUUAACGCAAUGUGAUUUUUGCCCAGUGCUAUAGAUGCCAAAGUGAUAGGACUCUCUUAAGGUGGCCAAAUACCUCGUUAUCUAAUUAGUAUCGCGCAUUAAUGGAUUAACGAGAUUCCCACUAUCCCUGUCUACUAUGUAGCGAAAUCAUAGCCAAGGGAACGGGCUUGGAAAAAUCAACGGGGAAAGAAGACCUUGUUGAGCUUCACUCUAGUUCGACUUUGUGAAAUGACUUGAGAGGUGUAGCAUAAGUGGGAGCUUCGGCACAAGUAAAAUACCACAACUUUUAACGUUAUUUUACUUACUGUGUGAAUCAGAGGUGGGGUAUCGCCCCUCUUUUUGGACCUAAGGCCCGCUUUGCGGACCGAUCCAACAAAGGACAUAGGUGGGGAGUUUAGCUGGGGCGUACAUCUGUUAAAAGGUAACACAGGUGUCCUAAGAUGAGCUCAAAGAGAACAGAAAUCUCGUGCGCACAGAAGGGUAAAAGCUCGUUUGAUUCUGAUUUUCAGUAUGAACACAAACCGUGAAAGUGUGGCCUAACAAUCCUUUAGAUGUUCGGAAUUUAAAUCUAGAGGUGUCAGAAAAGUUACCACAGGGAUAACCGGCUUGUCGCAGCCAAGCGUUCAUAGCGACGUUGCUUUUGUAUCCUUCAAUGUUGGCUAUUCCUAUCAUUGUGAAGCAGAAUUCACUAAGUGUUGGAUUGUUCACCCACUAAUAGGGAACAUGAGCUGGGUUUAGACCAUUGUGAGAUAGGUUAAUUUUACCCUACUAGUGACAACGUCGCGAUGGUAAUUCAACCUAAGACGAGAGGAACCACUGAUUAGCAUACAAUUCAUCAUCACACUUGGUUGAAAAGCCAGUUGCGCAAAGCUACCGUGCGAUGGAUUAUGACUGAACACCUCUAAGUCAGAAUCCGGGUCAGAAGCAACAUAUGCGCACGCCGCCUGAUUGUCGACCUGCAGUAGGGACUUGGCCCCCAAAGGCACGUGUCGUAAGCUAAGCCAGCACAGCGGAUGCCCUGCGAGGGCCGCCUUGAAGUAUAACUCCUACCGAGUGGUGGGUUGAGUACUUUGCAGACAACCUCAAUACGUAACGGGGUAUUGUAAGUGGCAAUGUGGCCUUGCUGCCAUGAUCCGCUGAUAUUCAACCUUAUGU